UUUAAUUAUUAUUUUUAAACUGGCCGGUUCCGAUCCAACCGGGUGGUUAACGGUUAGAUCACCUGCUCUCUCUCUCUCUAAACAAAAAUGUCAGCUGUUGUCCCAAAAUUGAAUCAAAAUGAUGUCCCUAUCCAGUCCCACAUUUGGAAGCCUGUUGAAUUUAAGAGUAUACAAUCGGAUAUUGAAUUUUCUACCCAUCAUUUUGCGUGAUCAGAGUACGUAAGCACAAUAUCAAGAGCAAUAAUUAAAAAGAUGAGUGCCCACAAAGUACUCUCAACAAUAAAUAAUAAACUUUGAAUCUUAGUUAAUCAUCUAUAAUUAUG
This 323-nucleotide long non-coding RNA is filed under the name Amborella trichopoda. RNAcentral's name for it is "long non-coding RNA (ATRI_LNC000282)". The record is from RNAcentral. Lineage: Eukaryota; Viridiplantae; Streptophyta; Magnoliopsida; Amborellales; Amborellaceae.